CAUUUAAGUACAGAGUCCACACCGGCCUAACCCUAAUCUCUUCUCCUCCCAUGCCAACCAUCAGCCGCCGCCGCCAGUCCACCUUCCCUCCUCGCGUCGCUCCAUGUCGCCGCCUGCGGCGCCGGCUUUGAACCACCAUGCGCCAGGCCCCUCCCAUCGACGAGCCCAUCUGUUCGCCCAUCCGAUGGGGGAGAGAUGUCAUUUUUCAUGAAGGUUGGAUCCAAGUUCCUUGCACAUAGUGGAGUCACCAAGGCCCGUGCCCCUGCCAUGCUCGGUCUGACUGUGGGCGUUCCAUCUUGGGGCUUCAGCAGCAGCCGACGGCCUCCAACUAAUCUUGGGCGCACUAUCGUGCCCCCGAGUUGCGGCGGCCCAGUCCUGCCUCUCAAGUUAAUGCGGCAGUAGUGGCGGCGGUACCGACAGCUAGGUAUUGAACCCCCUGACGUCACCGGCGGCGGGCACAGAUCCAGCUCCAUCCGGUGGUGAGACACACAUGCGCGCUUCUCCUCGGAUGGUCAGUGGCAAGUCUGAGGGGAACACGGACGUGUCCUUCAUGCACAAUGAUGGCACCAGCCGCAUCGAUUUCAUCUAGCAGCUCCUUGCAAUGUACAGUGCAGUGCCUGAUCUAGUACAAAUGCCGUCCCAAUGGAUAUGGGCAUUUACAGCUGAUUUGAGAGCCUUUGGGAUAUGACUACUAUCACUAUCACCAAGAGGAUAGUUUCUAAAAAUGAAGCCAUGUAGGUAUGGUAGAGAAGUGAAUCUAUGACGGUGAUGUCGAUAGUUGGCUGCCAGUGUGACCAACAAAUAUGCUGAGAUAACAGGCAGUUGAUGGAACCGUCGAAGUCGAGCCAGGUAAUAUUAGGUAGCGAGCUACUUGUUGCUACCAUCACAAUUAGCCACGACGCCACAAUCAAGCUGCCAUCAUAAUCAGCCACGACGCCAAGACAUGAUAGUUGCCACAGGAGGACCGAUGGAAAGAACAUGAAUAACAACCUCAAUGCUUUGUAUGUUAUGUUGGAUGUAAAAUGGAUUGUACUGGUUCCUAACCUUGCUGUGUGAUAUAUUGUCAAUCUAUGCUGUAAGUUCUUAUUUCAUAGAGGAUUUUAUAAACUGCUAUGUUGUAUUUACAUACCGAUGGCUGCAAACUGGAUCAACUAUGUAAUGUCCUGACACUUUGCAAAUGCUUCCUCUUGGGCCAAAA
Triticum urartu is the source of this 1198-nucleotide long non-coding RNA. RefSeq lists it as uncharacterized. Lineage: Eukaryota; Viridiplantae; Streptophyta; Magnoliopsida; Poales; Poaceae. The record is from RefSeq and is a predicted model, not a curated record.